This is an RNA transcript of Capsicum annuum, 2303 nucleotides long. It is a transcript of the gene named transcription factor TGA4-like, with no coding region annotated. The record is from RefSeq and is a predicted model, not a curated record. The transcript is spliced from 5 exons. NCBI's taxonomy places the organism in Eukaryota, Viridiplantae, Streptophyta, Magnoliopsida, Solanales, Solanaceae.
AUUUGUGGGCUUCAGUGGAACAGGCAUCACAAAGAGAUAAGAAGUGGUCAUGGAUUUGGAAGGGGUAAAUCUCAUUGUCAGUUGUGUUUAUGGAGUUAUCCUUCCAUGGUUAGAAUUUAUGUUUGAGCUGAGGGUCGAUCGAAACCACCUCUCUACCCUACAAAGGUAGGAGUAAGGUAUGUGUCUCUUACCCUUCCCGUCCCAAACCCCACCUUUGGGAUUGUACAGGAUGUUUUUUAUUGUAUGCUCUCAUUAGGAUAAUAGUCACGCGAACUGACAUUGACAUGCAGUGUAUAAAAAUAGAUAAUGAUGUUGUUCAUUCGGAGACUUGUGGUGAUUAUCGGACCUUUCUUGUAUCUCUUCUGUGGCCUGGUCAAUAAAUGAAGAGUCCACACCAUACAAAUAGGUGUUAUUAGUAUGGCAUCAGUAUUGAAAACAUUGUGUGUAAAGCAGGCAGUUACUAUUGCAUGCUAAUUAAUGUUUACUUAGUAGCCGAGUUUGUUGAUCUUUGAGUCAAGCAAUUAGAGUAAAUCCAUGGGAUAUUGAAGCUGUGGCUGAGGCUUUAAAUGUGGGCAUUACAAUGUCUGAUUUCGAUAAACAACUUCUUCAUGAGAAGUACUACGCUAUGUAAGCUCUGCUCUCAUUCAGGGAAUGGAUAAACUUCAGCUGACUCUCUCACAGGGCAUCCUAACUAUGACCACUGGAAUGGGAAGUUACAGUUAUCUGAUGGUUUCCAGUAUGGAAAAGUUAGAAGCACUGGAAAGUUUUGUUAACCAGGCAGAUCACCUUUGGCAGCAAACACUACAACAAAUGUCACUUAUCUUGACUACACGCCAAUCAGCCUGGGGUUUACUCGCUUUUGGAGAAUAUCUUCAACGUUUUCGUGCUCUAAGUUCUCUUUGGGCUGCCCAUCCUCAUGAACCUACCUAGCCUAUUAUGACCAAAAUUGAUGAAAAUAACUAAGUUUCCUUAGCUGCAGCUGUUAGUGCCUGAACGAGCUGCAUAUGGAAAAUGUAAUCAAAGUCCUGUCUAGAUUGUGAUAUGGUUUUCAUACUCCGAAAAACAUAUUAUUCAGGAGUCAUUUUUUCCUUUGGCCUUCUCUACACAUCAUUGAAAAGCAGAAAAGCAAGGUUAUGGUGGUAUGGAACUGGGUGGUUCAGAAGCUUUUUUGCGGAUUAUGGAGUUUCUUUAAUGGUUCUUGUGUGGUCGGCACUCUCAUAUGGAAUGCCAAGCAAAGUGCCCUCUGGAGUACCCAAAGUCACCAAGCAGUUUUCAUAGAGAUCGAUAGUUCUCCUGAUGCAAGUCUGUCUCUUCUCAUUGCCUAUAUCUUGGCAAUUAUGACAUUGCUCUUAAUUUGCAAAUAAUUGUUCAUACAAUUCUUCAAUAUCCUUUUUAAGCUUACUUAUUCAAAGGAUUACUGUUCUAUAAUUGUUAAAUAAUGGUUGUAGUCCACAUUAGAGAACAUUUUAGUUCAUAUAGGUAAAUAUUGAGCUUUGUAAAAUGAACAGUUUGUAUCCUAUUGCAGACCACAGUAGCUAAAGAGUUGGAACAUCUAAAAGAGGCAGUAAUGAGUACUGAAAACAAAAAUGGAGAUAAAGCAGAGGUCACAUUUGAUACCAUUGGAGAAUCGAUAGUUGGAAGUGCCAUUUAAUAGUUAUAUUCUUUCUAUUACUCAUUUUACAGCAUAUGAGUAUAGGACUGGAGGUAAAUGAAUUCAGCAGGGGCAUCCCAAAAGCACAGUUGUGGCUGGCCGUUAUAGUUGGUUCAUUUGGUGUGUGGGUCAGAUGAUUCUUAGCACGACUAAGAAUAUAUCAGCAGCUUGCAGUAGUUUCAAACAUGAAGAAAGUAGAUACAUCUAAUGUAAGGCCGAUGAUGCUAGAAUCUGUUGAUUUGGAGAAAUACUUUGAUCCCUUUCCCACUGGUGAGACCGGAGACAAUUCCCUCACUUUCAUCCCCCUUCAGGAGGAAAAUUGCAUAAAAAGAUUUUGGAGAAGAGACAAAUUGGAAAAAAUUGAGGGAGUAACGAAAGGAGCAGCGAAAGAAGCAACAAAAGGAGCAGCGAGAAGCUGAUAUGUUGAAUGCUACAGAGACAAUAUCCAAUAGAAUGGUAUUUAUAGAAGUUAAAUUUGUUGGAACGUGUCUGUAAUAAUUUAGCCAGAGUAGGAUUUUAUUUUGUUUUUAUACUAAUUAGUGAGAAUAGGAUUAAGGGAUUUUUUUGUAAAUGUAGUGUGUUUGUACUAAUUUAGUGGGAAUAGGAUUAAUAUUUUUACUAUAAAUGUAGUGGCAUCUUAGAAUGAAAUCGG